GUUUUAUAUGGUUUUAUAUAGUUUCCCUAUAUGGUUACCCUAUAUGGUUUUAUAUGGUUACCCUAUAUGGUCUCCCUAUAUGGUUUUAUAUGGUUACCCUAUAUGGUUUUAUAUAGUUUCCCUAUAUGGUUACCCUAUAUGGUUUUAUAUAGUUUCCCUAUAUGGUUACCCUGUAUGGUUUUAUAUAGUUUCCCUAUAUGGUUACCCUAUAUGGUUUUAUUCAAGUGCAUCUCCCAGAGAGGCUUGACUCCAAAUCAGUUGGUGAGCAUCUUAACUGUCCUCUGUUUCGUCCUCUCCUUUGUCUUUUAAUCUACUUGUGUACAUGUAGAAUUGUUUUAUUCUGUCCAUGGCAAUAUUAUUUCCAGUGGACCUUAAGAUUGUCUUGUAUUGCACAUAGAAAACUUCACCUGUUGAUUCACACUGACCUUGUAAUGGGAAUUACAAAUGUUUUUGUAGUUAUUACAUUAUUUCUUUUAAAGUAUUCUUAAGGUAGUUUUGGCAAUAGAGAAGCUAACUUGCAUGGUUGACACUGUUUACAAAUUAGCCAAGAAAAAAUGCUGCAGUUUCCUUUUUCGGACACAGAUUUUAGUCACAGAAACUUCAAGUGGAUGAAAUCAAGAUGAAGUGCAAUUAGAGCAGAUGCAAAAAUCACAGACAUUUAGUUUGAUAUGUCAUUCCACAAAGCAGACAGACAUUUAGUUUGAUAUGUCAUUCCACAAAGCAGACAGACAUUUAGUUUGAUAUGUCAUUCCAUAAAGCAGACAUUUAGUUUGAUAUGUCAUUCCAUAAAGCAGACAGACAUUUAGUUUGAUGUGUCAUUCCAUAAAGCAGACAGACAUUUAGUUUGAUGUGUCAUUCCACAAAGCAGACAGACAUUUAGUUUGAUGUGUCAUUCCACAAAGCAGACAGACAUUUAGUUUGAUGUGUCAUUCCACAAAGCAGACAGACAUUUAGUUUGAUAUGUCAUUCCACAAAGCAGACAGACAUUUAGUUUGAUAUGUCAUUCCAUAAAGCAGACAGACAUUUAGUUUGAUAUGUCAUUCCAUAAAGCAGACAGACAUUUAGUUUGAUAUGUCAUUCCAUAAAGCAGAAAGACAUUUAGUUUGAUAUGUCAUUCCAUAAAGCAGACAGACAUUUAGUUUGAUAUGUCAUUCCAUAAAGCAGAA
Long non-coding RNA from Oncorhynchus tshawytscha (Chinook salmon), 1166 nucleotides. NCBI's taxonomy places the organism in Eukaryota, Metazoa, Chordata, Actinopteri, Salmoniformes, Salmonidae. The record is from Ensembl.